ACGCUACUUGUUGCAGGUGUUGCCAUUGCACACCACACGCUAGCUUGAGCUUCAACGUCACCACCACCAGUCUUUCGUGUGUGGCUAACAUAUCUACACAUAUCCUCCAUCUUUAUGCCCUCUAAUCUAGCUUGAAAAUUACUACCAAACUUUCUCUUUUCAAAGGUACUUCUCUUUGAAAAUCGAAACUGAUGAUCCGUCCAAAAACAAUCAUUGGAGAUCAAUUGCUUAGAUCUCCCCCCCCCCCCCCCCCCCCCUCUCUCUAAUCAGUACCACAACAGUCUCACUUAUAGUUGAAUAAGCUUUCAACAUGACCUUGACAGCCUGGUGCGUGGAAAUGAAGCUGAACUUACAGCAAGAGAUUGUGUUCGGUCCUAAGUCUGAGGAUAAGUUCUAAUCGUUGGAUUUAAAUUAGAUAGAUGUUGGUUAAAUCUGAAAAUAAAACAAAAAGAAAUCAUACAUCUGUGAUUUAGCCAAAAAAAAAAUCUGUUGCUAUUUCCCGACCAAUCAUCAUGUUGUAUUCAUGUAUACUCAAGUCAUUUAGCAAGAGACCAAUGGUUUGAGCAUUAA
Long non-coding RNA from Zea mays, 570 nucleotides. RefSeq lists it as uncharacterized. NCBI's taxonomy places the organism in Eukaryota, Viridiplantae, Streptophyta, Magnoliopsida, Poales, Poaceae. The transcript is spliced from 2 exons. The record is from RefSeq and is a predicted model, not a curated record.